NNNGUAGCUCAGUGGUAGAGCUAUCGGCUGUUAACCGAUCGGUCGUAGGUUCGAGUCCUACCUGCGGAGCCA
RNAcentral lists this transfer RNA (72 nucleotides) under Bacillus cereus. Its description in RNAcentral is "transfer RNA-Asn". The stretch from base 4 to 62 matches the Rfam family "tRNA", at positions 7 to 64 of the family's 71-position model. From Rfam's summary of the family: Transfer RNA (tRNA) molecules are approximately 80 nucleotides in length. Lineage: Bacteria; Bacillati; Bacillota; Bacilli; Caryophanales; Bacillaceae. The record is from RNAcentral.